ACAUGAUGAGAUACCAGCUGGCACCAGUCAUAGAGUGAUUUGUACUCCCUUUCAGUGAUGACCAAAAUGCUUAGGUCUUAGACCAUUUCUGAA
This 93-nucleotide small nucleolar RNA is filed under the name Trichoderma harzianum. Its description in RNAcentral is "Hypocrea lixii A. fumigatus snoRNA Afu_190". It matches the Rfam family "A. fumigatus snoRNA Afu_190". Lineage: Eukaryota; Fungi; Ascomycota; Sordariomycetes; Hypocreales; Hypocreaceae. The record is from Rfam by way of RNAcentral. RNAcentral also lists the same sequence under 1 other name.